AUGUUCCACUGGCAGGCCACUAUCAUGGGACCCUCAGACAGCCCGUUUACCGGUGGUCUAUUUUUGGUGAACAUCCAUUUCCCACUAGAUUAUCCCUUCAAGCCCCAGAAGGUAAUUUCCGACAUGAACAUAUUUCAGGUCUCUUUCAUCAACAACAACGGCAGCAUUUGCCUUGACAUUCUCAAGGAAUAG
Molecule: ribosomal RNA, 192 nt
Filed under: Triticum aestivum (bread wheat)
Lineage: Eukaryota; Viridiplantae; Streptophyta; Magnoliopsida; Poales; Poaceae
Description: partial small subunit ribosomal RNA
Source: RNAcentral